This 485-nucleotide ribosomal RNA is filed under the name uncultured bacterium. RNAcentral describes it as "partial 16S ribosomal RNA". It matches the Rfam family "Bacterial small subunit ribosomal RNA", at positions 28 to 507 of the family's 1533-position model. The record is from RNAcentral.
GAUGAACGCUGGCGGCGUGCUUAACACAUGCAAGUCGAACGGGAUCCAAGGGGUGCUUGCACUUUUUGGUGAGAGUGGCGAACGGGUGAGUAACACGUGAGUAACCUGUCCUUUUCUUUGGGAUAAGCAUUCGAAAGGGUGUUUAAUACCUUAUGUUCUGUCUGCCUCGCAUGGGGUGGGUGGGAAAGGCUUUGGCCGGAUUUGGGUGGGCUCGCGGUCUAUCAGCUUGUUGGUGGGGUGAUGGCUUACCAAGGCUUUGACGGGUAGCCGGCCUGAGAGGGGGGUCGGUCACAUUGGGACUGAGAUACGGCCCAGACUCCUGCGGGAGGCAGCAGUGGGGGAAAUUGCACAAUGGGCGAAAGCCUGAUGCAGCGACGCCGCGUGGGGGAUGAAGGCCUUCGGGUUGUAAACUUCUUUUGCUCUGAACAAGGCAUGCCAGUGGGUGUGUUGAGUGUAGGGGUUGAUUAGCGCCGGCUAACUACGUG